UUUGCGUGUCAUGAGUUUCCAUGUUCAACUUUAAUUAUUCGUUUUAUUUAAAAUUAUUUUAUUAUUACAAUGUGAUAAAAUAUAAAUAUUAUUUUAUGCAUGACUUAUGUUUUUUAUGUUUUUAUUUUUUUAAAUAAGAUAAAUGAUUGAAGUUGGACAUGAAAACUAAUGGAUGCUCUUAAA
RNAcentral lists this microRNA precursor (183 nucleotides) under Oryza rufipogon (brownbeard rice). RNAcentral describes it as "MIR812 microRNA precursor family". It matches the Rfam family "MIR812 microRNA precursor family". The record is from Rfam by way of RNAcentral. Lineage: Eukaryota; Viridiplantae; Streptophyta; Magnoliopsida; Poales; Poaceae.